AGGACGAACGCUGGCGGCGUGCUUAACACAUGCAAGUCGAACGGAAAGGCCCUUCGGGGUACUCGAGUGGCGAACGGGUGAGUAACACGUGGGUGAUCUGCCCCGCACUUUGGGAUAAGCCUGGGAAACUGGGUCUAAUACCGAAUAGGACCAUGGGAUGCAUGUCCUGUGGUGGAAAGCUUUUGCGGUGUGGGAUGGGCCCGCGGCCUAUCAGCUUGUUGGUGGGGUUAAGGCCUACCAAGGCGACGACGGGUAGCCGGCCUGAGAGGGUGUCCGGCCACACUGGGACUGAGAUACGGCCCAGACUCCUACGGGAGGCAGCAGUGGGGAAUAUUGCACAAUGGGCGCAAGCCUGAUGCAGCGACGCCGCGUGGGGGAUGACGGCCUUCGGUUGUAACCUCUUUCAGUAGGACGAAGCGCAAGUGACGGUACCUACAGAAGAAGCACCGGCCAACUACGCGCCAGCAGCCGC
RNAcentral lists this ribosomal RNA (472 nucleotides) under uncultured bacterium. Its description in RNAcentral is "SSU rRNA". It matches the Rfam family "Bacterial small subunit ribosomal RNA", at positions 26 to 518 of the family's 1533-position model. The record is from RNAcentral.